GACGAACGCUGGCGGCGUGCUUAACACAUGCAAGUCGAACGGAAAGGCCCUGCUUUUGUGGGGUGCUCGAGUGGCGAACGGGUGAGUAACACGUGAGUAACCUGCCCUUGACUUUGGGAUAACUUCAGGAAACUGGGGCUAAUACCGGAUAGGAGCUCCUGCUGCAUGGUGGGGGUUGGAAAGUUUCGGCGGUUGGGGAUGGACUCGCGGCUUAUCAGCUUGUUGGUGGGGUAGUGGCUUACCAAGGCUUUGACGGGUAGCCGGCCUGAGAGGGUGACCGGCCCCAUUGGGACUGAGCUACGGCCCAGCCUACUACGGGAGGCAGCAGUGGGGAAUAUUGCACAAUGGGCGGAAGCCUGAUGCAGCACCGCCGCGUGCGGGAUGACGGCCUUCGGGUUGUAAACCGCUUUCGCCUGUGCCGAAGCGUGAGUGACGGUAAUGGGUAAAGAAGCACCGGCUAACUACGUG
This 468-nucleotide ribosomal RNA is filed under the name uncultured bacterium. RNAcentral's name for it is "partial 16S ribosomal RNA". It matches the Rfam family "Bacterial small subunit ribosomal RNA", at positions 28 to 507 of the family's 1533-position model. The record is from RNAcentral.